GGAAGCGUACCGAAGUGGUCAUAACGGGGCGGUCUUGAAAACCGUUUAGGUGAAAGCCUGCGGGGGUUCGAAUCCCUCCGCUUCCGCCA
RNAcentral lists this transfer RNA (89 nucleotides) under Christensenellaceae bacterium. RNAcentral's name for it is "tRNA-Ser". It matches the Rfam family "tRNA". Rfam says of the family: Transfer RNA (tRNA) molecules are approximately 80 nucleotides in length. Their secondary structure includes four short double-helical elements and three loops (D, anti-codon, and T loops). Lineage: Bacteria; Bacillati; Bacillota; Clostridia; Christensenellales; Christensenellaceae. The record is from RNAcentral.